CCCCCCUUUUCCCCACCCUUGGCCGCCCCUUCCCCUUGCAGCCACCCUCCACUACUUCCUCCUCCCUCUAGAUCUCCCCCCACGCAGCAAGGAUCGAGAAGAGGAGGAGCAAGAUGGAUUGAAGAGGAAGAGAGGAUCAAGGAGAUGUUCUACCCCCAUCUCUUGCAGAUUUUCUUGGGGAAACCCUAGGUAAGGAUAGGAUCCUUGUUCCUCCCUAUAAUUAUAUGCUUUUGGAGGUUGUGGAUCAUGUGGAUUGAAGGAUUAGAGGUUGGAUUAGAUGUGGGGUUAGGUUUUGAUCUCGAAUUUAAUUUCUGCAGAAUGGCAGAUUCGACAGUUUCUGUUCAUGUCAGUUUUCCGUGGUCUUAGUGGCCUCAAAAAAAAUAAAAAGUCUAUAUAUGAGUCGUAGAUAAUUUGUAGAUCUUUCCGUGGCCACGAAGAACAACUCAAUCGGACAUCAUAACAGAAAGUUAUUGCAGUUUGAUUAUAGCAGUUUUUCAGUCUCAUAAUUCUGUUCAGAAUCUGUUCUCUUAAGAGUUAGGCAAUUUUAUCAACAGAAUUAAACUGUGGGUUGGUAAAAGAAGUUGUAGAUAAUUUCAUAAGCUUUCCAGAUUGUUAAAGAGUGUAUUCAUAUGAUUUAUCAAACUCCAGUUAUGUUUGUUUUACUGUGGCUGUUCCUGUUUGCCUGACAAAAAUGAGCGGGUCUGUUCACUGGUAGGUUUCAUCUAGUAAAUGGCCGAAUUGACUCUUCCAACUGUGGAGACUUUUGUAGAGGGAUAAAAGUUCUUACUGCCAGCAGAAUUUCAUAAUUUUUGGUUCAGUAGUUUGGGAGAUAUCGAAUUUUGAAGUUAACUAGGCUGCUGUCUAAAACAGAUUCAGUCAGUUAUCUUGUCAGAUGUUUUAGAAUAUAUUCAUGGCAGAAUUUAAUUAUCCAUUGAAUACCGAAGUUGUAGAUUGUUUUGUGUAGAUACUCUUAGAGUAUUUGUUUGAUAUCACUAAUGUUUUAAUUUUAAAGAUACAAAAUUAACAAACAGCGCUGCUGCUGUAUAGCAUGUGGUUCAGGGUGGGAGUCUUCCCACUAGGUCUUGGUUUCAAGUGUAGGAGUGUUUUGUUGAUUGUUGGAAAAUGUUUGUGAAAUAUUUGUACUAAGUUUUAUGCCCGCUAGCAGGUGGCUACACUCCAGAUCAUGCCUAGUACAUUUUCUUCUUUGAUGAAGGCAAGUGAAUGUAGCGGUGAUUGCUUCCGUUCUGACCUGUUAUUUCUAUUGCCUACACUCUAAUAUUCAGAAGUAUUGGAUUCUUUCAUAAUUGGACUCUAUGGUGAUACUUUACUUGCUUGCAUUAUACUGAUGCUCAAUCAUAUAUUGAUGAUGAUUAUGAUUCGAGUAUGAUUCAUGAGAUUAAUUCACACCCCUGAAGGUAAAUGAAGUAUUAUUUGAGGUUGAUAUUGUAUCUGAAGGUAAAUGAAGUAUUAUUUGAGGUUGGUAUUGUAUCUGAAGGUAAAUAAAGUAUUAUUUGAGGUUUGUAUUGUAUCUGAAGGAAGUGAAGAUUAUUGAUAAAUGCAGCAUGCCAUAUACAUUGCAUGACUCAUUUGCAUCUGAAGUUUUGUCGUGACCUAUGGUCCGACCGUACCGGUACAAUUUAGCAUCGUACGUUGCCCGAGGAGGGGUACGAUGCGGCUUCAUACCCUUAGAGGUAUGAAGGCAGAGGACAUAUGCAUUGCAUUCAUAUGCAUUCAUUGAAGUGAUAUUUGCAGAUGAUGUGGUUUUAUACUCUCAGAGGUAUGAAGAUAGAGUACCUACACAUUGCAUUCCUAUGCAUACGUUGAAGUGAUAUUUGCAGGUAUUGUUGACACAAGGAAGUGUUAUAGAACCUAUUGUGGUUAUUCGAGGAAAUGAGAUGGUAUUGUUUAUAGUGGGACUACUGAGUUCCAUAUCCACAAGUAUUUCUGAUUUUAAUUGUGACUCUUUUAAAAUGUUGAUGAAUUCAAUUUGUGGUUUAAAUAUCUCGUCAAAAUUAUUCGCUUGCUGAGAUGUUUCAUCUCACUCUUGCAUUACUCAAUGCAGGUGCUUGUUGCUCAUCAAGGGAAGUGGGAAGUAGCAGCACAUCCACCUUCACUCUUAUAAUAACGCUGCUUAGGCGCAGUCAUGAUUUAACUAGAAGCUUCUUGUCAAAGGAUGUUUGUUUCUAACUAGUUGUGCGCACUGGAUAAUUUAGCUCAUGCCGUUAUGGUUGUCUUCCCAUUGCUAGCAGACUAUUAAUGUCUAUUAUGUUUUCUUAUCAUGAUAUCUAUUUAUACUUUGUUGCUUCCCCGUUUAUGCCAUUUUCAAAGGAGAUGCUGUCGAAAUUUUAUAUACGAAUGUUAGAUGUGUAGUUUAGUAGCAUUCUAGGGUGUUUGUGGAUCCCGGGGUGUUACAGUUGGUAUCAAAGCAUAGGCUUUAGAUUCUUGGCAAUUUGAAGAUAAAUUUGACACACUUGCACAUAUAGGAAGGGUAUGGGUACAAAUAUCUUUGAUAUAUAUUAAUGUAUUUGAAGUGCAGAUGACAAUAAUUUCACCCCUCCCUAUUGCUUUAUGGUGAUGUGGUAAGUUGUUUAUGACCUAAUGCUAGAUAUAAUUUAUCUCUAAAUCUUUAUAUUGUUUUAUUAAUGCGUUUGAUAUCGCUAGUCUUUUGUGAUAUUGACGUUGUUAUUAUGCUUGUGAUAUACAAGUAUGCCUAUGUUGUUUUCACCAUGUUUUUCAUGGUUGAGUUUUAUUACAAUAAUAUUGUUAUAUAUGCUUGAUUGAGGAUGUAUCUAAGAGGAGUGUGAAUUGUGUGUUUUGGGUUACAAGGCAACCAUCAAUUUGAAUUUUAGUUGUGGAGCGGUUGGUGGAUAGUUCCAACUAUCUUUGCAAAGAAUGAUUGUUUAUGACGAGAAACUGGUUCUGAAAGAAAUGAAUAUUGGUACUUUAUAUGGAUUUUUGGGGGAAGUCUUUUCAUAGCCAUAAUGGCUUACAUGUCUCUCUCCUAUUGUGUGUUUUAGUUGCCACAAAGCCUAGAUGUAGUUUAAAGUGGUUGCCUGUUAGUCAUACUAAUUGUAGAAUAAAUCUUUGAUUCUCUUGAUCCAUUGAUUAUGUAUUAAUACAUUGAGGAUCUGAUGGUUCCCUUUCCGAUGCAUGCUUGUGGAGCC
This 3164-nucleotide long non-coding RNA is filed under the name Zea mays. RNAcentral's name for it is "long non-coding RNA (ZMAY_LNC005364)". The record is from RNAcentral. Lineage: Eukaryota; Viridiplantae; Streptophyta; Magnoliopsida; Poales; Poaceae.